RNAcentral lists this ribosomal RNA (84 nucleotides) under Oceanobacter sp. 3_MG-2023. Lineage: Bacteria; Pseudomonadati; Pseudomonadota; Gammaproteobacteria; Oceanospirillales; Oceanospirillaceae. The record is from RNAcentral.
CUUGACGACAAUAGAGCUGUGGAACCACCUGAAUCCAUCCCGAACUCAGAAGUGAAACGCAGCAUCGCCGAUGGUAGUGUGGGG